Molecule: long non-coding RNA, 544 nt
Organism: Cyprinodon variegatus (sheepshead minnow)
Lineage: Eukaryota; Metazoa; Chordata; Actinopteri; Cyprinodontiformes; Cyprinodontidae
Exons: 3
Source: RefSeq, a predicted model, not a curated record
UUCAGCCAAUCGGUUUCCUCGCUGCAUGUUAGCAUCCAUUGAGCGAGGAAGCUAACCUUCUUCAGGCUACCGCCUCGCCUUCUGGCACGUUCUGCGUUUAUAUUUUAUAUUUUGUCUCGUGUUGAGUAAUAAUACUCAACCUUGCGAGAUUUAUUACCAAGUUGUGCCAGUACGACACCAUUUCGCAACGAUGACAGGCUCUAACGAAUACAAGCUAAACCAGACACCUGAAGACGGCAUCUCUGCUGUAAAGUUCAGCCCCAGUACUGCUCAGUUCCUCUUGGUUUCCUCAUGGGAUUGCACAGUUCGUCUGUAUGAUGUCGGAGGGAACACGAUGAGGAUGAAGUACCAGCACACAGCUCCUGUGCUUGACUGUGCUUUUUAUGACUCAACACAUUCUUGGAGUGGAGAUUUGGAGGCUCAACUAAAGACUCACGAUUUGAACACAGACCAAGGUGUGCCUUUAAAUUCCCUUAAAUGUUGGUUUAUAAAUAAACAUUGGCCCAUGUAAAAUUCUUAUGGUAUAAUUGCAGUAAGCAAAAUU